Molecule: unclassified non-coding RNA, 459 nt
Filed under: Hevea brasiliensis (rubber tree)
Lineage: Eukaryota; Viridiplantae; Streptophyta; Magnoliopsida; Malpighiales; Euphorbiaceae
Source: RNAcentral
GAGUCAGUUAAGCUUCUGAUUGAAUAUCAUAAUCAGUAUGAUGAUAAGUAGUAGGCUGGAUCAUUGAAUGCCACAACAUAAUCUCCUUUAUAUUGGAUCUAACGAUCAAGUAAGCAACAUCAUGCCUCCUUCAUACUCAUUUAAAUAACUCGUUAAGAAAAAUUCAGAUUUUUGUACAACUCGGUAAAUUUCCACGACACAACUCGCACAAAGUUCGGCACUAAGGAUUCAACAUAUAGAUUGAUGUUCACAAGAAGAGUCCAGCUUCGCAGGAUAGUUCUUUCACUCGUGAAACAAAAACGAAAAACCUUGAUUCAUCAUGUAAAUUUCCACAACACAACUCGCACAAAGUUCGGCACUAAGGAUUCAACAUAUAGAUUGAUGUUCACAAGAAGAGUCCAGCUUCGCAGGAUAGUUCUUUCACUCGUGAAACAAAAACGAAAAACCUUGAUUCAUCAU